This 352-nucleotide ribosomal RNA is filed under the name uncultured Leptolinea sp. RNAcentral's name for it is "bacterial SSU rRNA". It matches the Rfam family "Bacterial small subunit ribosomal RNA", at positions 1014 to 1382 of the family's 1533-position model. Lineage: Bacteria; Bacillati; Chloroflexota; Anaerolineae; Anaerolineales; Anaerolineaceae. The record is from RNAcentral.
GACCCUUCGGGAGCUUGCACAGGUGCUGCAUGGCUGUCGUCAGCUCGUGUCGUGAGAUGUUCGGUUAAGUCCGCUAACGAGCGCAACCCUCACUGUGUGUUAUAUGUGUCACACGGGACCGCCGGUCUUAAGCCGGAGGAAGGUGGGGAUGACGUCAAGUCAGCAUGGCCUUUAUAUCCUGGGCUACACACACGCUACAAUGGCCAACACAAUAGGUCGCUAAGCCGCGAGGUGGAGCCAAUCCAUAAAGUUGGUCUCAGUUCAGAUUGCAGGCUGCAACCCGCCUGCAUGAAGAUGGAGUUGCUAGUAACCGCAGGUCAGCUAUACUGCGGUGAAUACGUUCCCGGGGCUU